RNAcentral lists this ribosomal RNA (253 nucleotides) under uncultured bacterium. Its description in RNAcentral is "partial 16S ribosomal RNA". It matches the Rfam family "Bacterial small subunit ribosomal RNA", at positions 524 to 776 of the family's 1533-position model. The record is from RNAcentral.
UACGUAGGGUGCAAGCGUUGUCCGGAAUUAUUGGGCGUAAAGAGCUCGUAGGCGGUCUGUCACGUCUGCUGUGAAAACUCGGGGCUUAACCCCGGGCCUGCAGUGGGUACGGGCAGACUAGAGUGCGGUAGGGGAGACUGGAAUUCCUGGUGUAGCGGUGAAAUGCGCAGAUAUCAGGAGGAACACCGGUGGCGAAGGCGGGUCUCUGGGCCGUAACUGACGCUGAGGCGCGAAAGCUAGGGGAGCAAACAGG